UUGACCUCGGAUCAGGUAGGGAUACCCGCUGAACUUAAGCAUAUCAAUAAGCGGAGGAAGUG
Molecule: ribosomal RNA, 62 nt
Filed under: Penicillium sp. NFML_CH28_3C 40
Lineage: Eukaryota; Fungi; Ascomycota; Eurotiomycetes; Eurotiales; Aspergillaceae
Description: partial 28S ribosomal RNA
Rfam family: Eukaryotic large subunit ribosomal RNA
Source: RNAcentral